Molecule: transfer RNA, 82 nt
Filed under: Blastocladiella britannica
Lineage: Eukaryota; Fungi; Blastocladiomycota; Blastocladiomycetes; Blastocladiales; Blastocladiaceae
Description: tRNA-Leu
Rfam family: tRNA
About the family: Transfer RNA (tRNA) molecules are approximately 80 nucleotides in length. Their secondary structure includes four short double-helical elements and three loops (D, anti-codon, and T loops). Further hydrogen bonds mediate the characteristic L-shaped molecular structure. tRNAs have two regions of fundamental functional importance: the anti-codon, which is responsible for specific mRNA codon recognition, and the 3' end, to which the tRNAs corresponding amino acid is attached (by aminoacyl-tRNA synthetases). tRNAs cope with the degeneracy of the genetic code in two manners: having more than one tRNA (with a specific anti-codon) for a particular amino acid; and 'wobble' base-pairing, i.e. permitting non-standard base-pairing at the 3rd anti-codon position.
Source: RNAcentral
GCUUGUGUGGUGGAGUGGUCUAACACGUGCGACUCAAGUUCGCAUCUCUUCGGAGGCGCAGGUUCGAACCCUGCCGCAAGCA